This 203-nucleotide ribosomal RNA is filed under the name uncultured bacterium. RNAcentral's name for it is "partial 16S ribosomal RNA". It matches the Rfam family "Bacterial small subunit ribosomal RNA", at positions 328 to 538 of the family's 1533-position model. The record is from RNAcentral.
ACGCUCGACACCUACGGGAGGCAGCAGUGGGGAAUAUUGGGCAAUGGGCGCAAGCCUGACCCAGCAACGCCGCGUGAAGGAAGAAGGCUUUCGGGUUGUAAACUUCUUUUCUCAGGGACGAAGGAAGUGACGGUACCUGAGGAACAAGCCACGGCUAACUACGUGCCUGCAGCCGCGGUAAUCUGAGGCGGGCUGGACAAGGC